This is a long non-coding RNA of Polypterus senegalus (gray bichir), 276 nucleotides long. RefSeq lists it as uncharacterized. The record is from RefSeq and is a predicted model, not a curated record. The transcript is spliced from 3 exons. NCBI's taxonomy places the organism in Eukaryota, Metazoa, Chordata, Cladistia, Polypteriformes, Polypteridae.
CUGGAGCUCAAGCUGGGAGUUGUCCUCCAGCCAGGAACCAAAUCAUGGAGGCUCAGUUAGGAGAUGCCGAUUUACAGUCCUGUGAAAAAUGGGAUAUUGCUGAAACUUAUAUGCUGCUUUCACAUCAAGAUGAAGAAAUUGGAGAAGCACAUGACUCGGCAACUCGGAGUGAUGACUGGGCUGGAUUACCAUGCGAUGAGGGAUACGAACCUCCCAUUGGGAAAUUUUAAGUAUUAGUGUUUACUGUGGUGGCCACCUGCACCACCACCACCUGAU